RNAcentral lists this ribosomal RNA (388 nucleotides) under Syndiniales sp. RNAcentral's name for it is "partial small subunit ribosomal RNA". It matches the Rfam family "Eukaryotic small subunit ribosomal RNA", at positions 582 to 975 of the family's 1831-position model. Lineage: Eukaryota; Dinophyceae; Syndiniales. The record is from RNAcentral.
AUUCCAGCUCCAAUAGCGUAUAUUAAAGUUGUUGCGGUUAAAAAGUUCGUAGUUGGAUUUCUGUGAAGGAUAACCGGUCCGCACUAUGUGCGUGUAUCUGUUUGUCCUUUGCAUCCUCGCGGAAUACGUCACUGUGCUUCACUGCAUGGGGCGGGCUUCGCGACUUUUACUUUGAGGAAAUUAGAGUGUUCACGGCAGGCUCACGCCAUGAAUAUAUUAGCAUGGAAUAAUAAUAUAGGACCUUGGCUCUAUUUUGUUGGUUUCUAGGGCUAAGGUAAUGACUAAUAGGGACAAUUGGGGGCAUUCGUAUUAACGCGUCAGAGGUGGAAUUCUUGGAUUGCGUUACGACGAACUACUGCGAAAGCAUUUGCCAAGGAUGUUUUCAUUG